Non-coding RNA from Cricetulus griseus (Chinese hamster), 1193 nucleotides. Lineage: Eukaryota; Metazoa; Chordata; Mammalia; Rodentia; Cricetidae. The record is from RefSeq and is a predicted model, not a curated record.
ACCAGCCAGCACUUUGUGCAUGUUAGGGCGUCUCACAGGACAAAGACUGGGCGUACCCGGAAACACAUAAUAUACUACUGCUGAUGACAGGUAGAAACAUCACCUCUUUUAUGAUGCUGAUCUGAAGGUACAUCUCCAGCAGGAUGAAGAAAAGAGAUUCCUGUCACCUGAAAGAGAGAUGAAGCCUUCACACAGUGACAGCCAUUAUACACAUACGGGCUACAGAAUAGGCUGGAACACGUGGACUUUACAGUGAGGCUGCCCGGCCAUUUCCUUGCCUUUGACACAGAUCUCCAGUUUUCCACUUCUUUCCCUGAGGUGACUCCUGGACCCACUAUGCCGUCUCAUAUAAGCAGGGUGAUGUAAGACAAGCGUUGUCACCAACACUUCAGGGCACCUGUAUUCGUUUACCAUCAGCUGAUGAAAGAAGGGAGAUUAAUCACCAGGGUGAUUUCCUUAACCCCAGCCAUGCUUUCCCUGAAGUCUUAACAGGUCAUGGUGACAUGUUCUUUCAAUGUCAUAUGGGACAAAGUCCCCCAGAGGAUUAUCUGGAGAAACAGAAUCUGAUUAAAUAGUCACUGUUUGUUAAAGGCCACAGACUGAGUGAAAUUACAGGUUGCUUCAUAGGUUUUAAAUUGUUAAGAACUCUUACAUGUAUGGGGGUUUUGCUGCAUGUUAUCUGUGUAGCAUUUGCAUGCCUGGUGCUAUUGGAGGCUGGAAGAAGGCGUAGAAUGCCCUGGAGCUGGAGUGCAGAUGGUUACCAGCCACUGUGUGGGUACUGAGAAUCAGAAAAGCUGUCUCUCCUGCCCCACUUUGGAGAUUUUUAUCUGUAAAACAAAACAAGUUCUAGACUGUGGGAAUGAGCCAUUCGAUGCAGUGUAGGUUCCUGUUGCUCAUUAGCUAGGUUUAUAUAUGACCAGCAAUCUUAUCUCAAGGUCAGCCCAGUUCCCCAGCAUCUUAUAUGGAGUCAGGGCCAGUUUUAACUUUUUUUUUUUUUUUUUGAGAAAGGAUCUCUCUGUGUAGCCCUGGCUUUCCUGGAACUCACUGUGUAGACGAGGCUGGCCUCAGACUCAGCGAUCUGCUUCUGCCUCCUGAGUGAUAGAACUAAAGGGGUAUGUCAUAAUGUUCAGCUAGUUUAGCUUCUCCCUGACUUCUUCCGUUAUUCAUGAAAAGAUUAAAGUAUUUGUCACAGG